ACUAUAUCUAUUUUCGUUGUGUAUGCAUUUCAAGAAGUCUUUUUUGAAAGACAAGAAGUUGAUUUGUCUUUAAACACUUACGAAGUGAGAUGAUUCUCCCUAGUCAAAUUUUUAACUUUUAAGACUUGUUGUUGCUACUAUUUUAUUUAUUUGUGGGUUGCGACUAUUUUAGCCUUUUAGGCUGCUAUUGUUUUUGCAUUUAUGUUGUUACAUUGCAGUUAUUUAAGCCUUUUAGGCUGUGCUAUGCUACUAUUUAAGUGUGUUGAUAUUACUGUUAUAGCAUACUGCUAUUGGUAAUAGGCCUAACUGUUAUUGGCCUAUUACCUUUUCCUAUUGAUGUCACUGGUAAAGAAAUCAUUGAGAAGUUAUUAGUCAUGUAUUGCUGCUAAGUAUGUUGUUGUUACGGCUAUUAUUGAGAUUUGAUGGGAGAUUGAUCUUCAUUAAACCUUGUGUGCAGUAACUUUUUUAUUGGUAUAGUAUAACUGUAAUUGGCUCUACUAUUUGUACAACUUUUACAGCUCACACUCUAGUAUAACUUCUACCUUGUUUUGCACUAUAUUUCCUUGUUUUGAAUAUUCUAUAGACUGUAGUGCCUUAGUAGUAUUCUGUGAGUUGCUUCCUUGCUUUGUGAUUUUAGAAAGUGAGUUAUUGGCUUGCUGCUUCAUUUGAAAUUGACAAGUUCAACUUUUAGAGCUCACUUACAGGUUACUUUUUUAAGGUAACUGGCUUACUAGGUUGCUAUUUUAAGGCCCUAUAUAAGCCGGAAAUCUUGCAUUUGCAGCCACUAAUUUUUGCAGUACACUUUCUAAACUCUUGCAUUGACCUUGAUGUGUAGAAUUUAUGAAUGUGGUAGUCGUUUUGUGGUAUACUUAACCCUGUUAGGUUGGUGACUUGACCUCCAUAUAAAUAGACAUUAUGAUUAUAUGUUGCGACUUAGAUAGGUAUUAUUGCUAUUUUGUUAGUUCCACCUUAUGAUACUGAGAUGAAUUCUAAUGUUCCUUUCCACUUACCUUUCUCUACUAACUCAUUCAUUUUUCUUGCAUACAAUAAAUCUCCGAGACCUACUGACACAGGGUAUUUCUGGAUAGUGAGUUUGUCCCUCUAUCCUUCUCCACUUAAUUAGCAAAUUUUUUGUCUGGUUCAGCCUUAAGAGUUCUAAUAUUUUAUGUGCAGUCCCUUGAUCUUUUUCAGUUUUUUUAUUUUUUGGUGUUGUCAUAUUUUUUGUCCUUUAAUAAUUGUUCUAUUCUUAGUUUAUUUCCAAGUAUAUAUUAAGGACUUCUAGUCAAGGCAACGUUGCCAACUUUCACUAUUAGCAAGCUAGACAUAUCUAUCUAUUACACACAUAAAUAUACAUAAUUUAAAAGUUAAAAUUAUUACGUUGGUUAAUGAUUUCUAAAAUGUUUUAUUUAACUUUAAAUUGGUGUACAGAAUGGACAAAAUCCCUGAUUCUCAUGUUUUUAACAUGCACCAACUUUUAUGAGUUUGAUAGAGUGAGUUAAUCUUUUAUAUAAGUAGUGGUUUCACUUAUUGUACUCCUCACUUCAUUUAUGGAUAUACAACUAGAAAUUGGCGAGACUAUAUGUUCUUACUCUUUUCAUUUCUCCUAGAUUAGGGAUCUAACAUAACUUGAAAAAUAAGCAUAUCAUUUUAUUAAACAUGGGUUCUAAUGAUGACAAUAUUUGUUGGACACUUCUAUAUUAUAUAGCUUUACUAGAUGUACCUUCUUCAGCCUCAUGGAGUACUUGUGUUUGAGUUGAGCUGGAAAAUACCUAACUUUUUCACUUCCCUUUCUGAAUUUAUGAGAUAUGUCCUGAGAUGUUUUCUUUCAUUUCCAGGUUCUUUCACAUUUGAAAAAUUCUUAUCUUUGUAAUUCUGAGAGAGUCAGAAAAGUAACAUUACUAGAAUCUAUUAGUCUUAUGGGGAAAAAACUGAAGGAGGCAAAGAUCAAAGAUACAAGUAUGCUUUGGGUGUCUUGUUUUCUUAUUUAUGUGCAAUUACCACUACUGGAAAUAGGGGUUAUAACAAUGAUUCUUUUGCAAUAUUUAUACAGAUGUCACUAUAUAAAACCUACGAUGAUGGUUAUAACCUUCGAAUAAUAUUAUAGUUUCUCUUGGGACAAUUAUUUAAAUAAACCAUCGCAUAGCAGAUGAAGGUCUUAUUAAUCUUAGAAAAUUAGUAGAUAAAUUUAGUUAAGGAAUUUUGUUUUUGGAUAUCUGGUUCUUGGACAUUUGCUAGAACACUUUCCAAUGCUAAUGUUAACAUCUUCGGAAAGUUGUUUUCUUACAAAAUUCUUGUUGUAGAUAAUGUUGAUAUGGUUUCUAACAUGUACAGUAACAUGUCUCUAACUUUUCAACUAAAAUUAAUUUAAUUAAAACUUCUUUGUUUUUCUAUUAGGAGUCUACUAGUAAAUAGUUUUUGUGUUUGUUGUUGUUUUUUCUACUGUUGCUAAAAUAUGAAAAAAAUGUAUGACUAUUAUUUUUUAAUUAAAUAUAUGAUGUACAAAUUAUUUCACAUACCUAAUUGUACUGUUUGUACAUUGAUACUAACUAUACUCAUUAUUUUCUUACUUCAAUAUUUUAAAUAUGUAACAUAGGGUAUUUAAUGGAUGUUGGAGAUAUAAGUUGGAUGUAUGUCCCAAAAUCCAUCAUUCAGUUCAAAAAUGGAGUCAAGGAUUUUCACAAUAAGGAAUUUGAACGAGUUUCUCAAGGAAAUAAAAUAUUAUGCCCUUAAAGAUUGUGCUUUAAUCAUUGUUGGCAUUAUCGAGAUGUGGUGGAGGAUAACUUUUAUGGUCAUGGAUUUGCUCUAGAUUACACUCAAUUGUUUUUCCAUGGAGAAGGGGUUUCGUCAACAAUAAUUCAACAUUCAAGCAGUGUUGAUAAAACUUUUGACCAACAUGAUGAUAUUGAGAGACUACUUCAUGAUACUUUUUGAUAUAUAGAAACUAACCAGAGAAAUGAUGGGCACAAAGGAGUAAGACAUGGACCAUCUAAAGAUAUUAAGAAAUUUUUAAUAUCAGUGGACAAAGGAAAAUAAGAUUUAUAUCUUAGGUUUAAGAGGUUUUCUAAGUUGAGUUUCACCAUCUGUUUAUACUUGUUCAAAUUAAUUCAACGGCUGAGUAAUGUAGCUUUCUAUGACUUUCUAGACUUUGUCUAUUUCAUGUUUAAAUUGACAUCAAUUAUCAAUUCUUAAUUUAGAAUUUCUUGAGUGUGCUUUAUAAUAUGACUUUUUAGGCUGAAAUAAAGGAAAUUGAAAUGUAAAAGGUGCAAUUGGUCCGUCUGUUGAUGCAUUUUCAGUAGUCAUGGGUCCUGAACAUCUGUGAUGUUUAAUACUAUAUAGAAGAGCGGUUACAAAGAAUUCGUUGAAAAUAAUAAAUAGCACUUUUUAACAAACUUAAAAUGCCACUAAAGUUGUCGUGCAACAUAUGCAAGAAAAGAUGUCAAAAUGAAGUAUCAAAUCGAGGAACAAAAAAGAACCAUUUGUCAAGAAGUUAUUAUAGAUAUAAUUCAUCAACUUUAGAAUGCAGGAUUAAUUGAUCAUAAGAUACUAGCAGCAUUCCAUUGCUUUUCCAAGUGAAUCAACCUCUACACCAGAAGCGAUAGGGAGAAACAAUAAAAAUAGUCAAGGUUAGUGUUUAACAUGCUGGAUUGUACUCCAAUUCAUUUGGUGGCUGAUAUUGUUGUUGUUGUUGUUAGAAUUUAUUUGAUGGUUAUUGGUGGCUUGUAACUGUGUAUUAUAUAUGAUGGUAUUGUGGUUUAUUGUCUGAAACUCUUGAUGGUUAUUGGUAGCUGGUAAAUGUGUAUUAUAUAUCAUGGUAUUGUUGUCUAUUGUUUGAAAUUCUGGAUGGUUAUUAGUGGCUGGUAACUAGAAUUAUACUGCAGAUAACAAUGCUUGAAUUCUAAAUUUGUUGAGUUCUUGAUUAUCCAGCAAAAAUACUUCUGGUUGUUUUGAUUGGUUUAUUGGCAAUUAUAUUUUCUUUUGUGUGGAGUAAAAUUAGGUAGAUUUAUCAAAGACACUUCAAAACUCUCACAAGUGUCAUGUAUCGACCUAUUGAAUGCUUCUUCCACUCAGUAGUUGUACCGGGUCACCCAAAGUUUCUUUUAAUUUUAAUAUCUUAAAUAUGCAUGUGAAAAUUUGUAAGUACAGGAAAAAUACAUUUUUUUAAAACAUGACUAAACAAGAAGGUAAGGGAAACAAAUUAAAAUAGAGAAAGGAACAAACCAGGGUUGCAAAGUGAAAGAGUUUUUCUGUAUGAAAAUUUGGUUUGCAAUGAAUUUGAGACAAGGUCUUUUCAUCUAUGAUCAAUUACAUUUGUCCAUUUUUGUAAGUAUCAGUUUACUUGCAUAACAUCAUUAAAUGACUAAUGUACUAAUUCUUAAGUUGUUGAUGUUGGAAUUUAGUAAGUUCCAUAUGUGAGUGAUAGCAGUACCAACAUUCAACUAAAAGCUUAUGGAGUGAUCUUGUUUAUUCUCAUUUUACUUUUUAACAUUUUCAAUUUGUAGCAAUGACUUUAUAAUGCUGGCUGAUAUGUUCUCAAAUUGCUUGGAUGAUUUAUUUCUUGUUCUCAAGGUAAUCAUGUAACUUACCAUCCCUCAGCUAUCUUACCAACUCUCUACUGGAAAGUUUUCUAGAACUUUUUUCUCCUUAUGUGCAUUCAAGCGGACUGAUCAAAAAUUACACCAAGUACAAAAACUAAUAAUUAACCUUAUUAUCUCACUUUCUCACAGUAGGAUCAAGACAAUUAACCUAUUUAUUCCUUUUUUCCUAAAAGAAUGGGCUUGGAGACUAUACCACUCUAAGGAAUCAAGAAACAAAGUAAGUCUAUAGCAGGGGAAAUCAUUCCACUUUCCAUAACCAAAAGGUGAUCAUGACAUAGAAGAUGGCUGAAAAAAAAAUUGAUCAACUAGACCUGACCUAAGAGAUCGAUCACAUUGGCUUCAUGUUGCACUAGCUGUUGGAAAAUAUGAUAUAGUAGUUUCAAACAUCUUUUAUUUUUUAACAUUCAAAACUUGUGUAUGUUUUUGUUUUUUUGAAUAGUCAAAAAAUAUUUGGUUUC
Molecule: long non-coding RNA, 5053 nt
Organism: Capsicum annuum
Lineage: Eukaryota; Viridiplantae; Streptophyta; Magnoliopsida; Solanales; Solanaceae
Exons: 2
Source: RefSeq, a predicted model, not a curated record